Molecule: ribosomal RNA, 524 nt
Filed under: uncultured bacterium
Lineage: Bacteria
Description: partial 16S ribosomal RNA
Rfam family: Bacterial small subunit ribosomal RNA
Source: RNAcentral
GACGAACGCUGGCGGCGUGCCUAAUACAUGCAAGUCGAACGAAGCUGUUUUAACUGGUGCUUGCACCGACUUAAACAACUGAGUGGCGAACGGGUGAGUAACACGUGGGUAACCUGCCCCAAAGCGGGGGAUAACAUUUGGAAACAGAUGCUAAUACCGCAUAACCACAGAAACCACAUGGUUUCUGUGUCAAAGAUGGUUUCGGCUAUCACUUUGUGAUGGAACCGCGGCGUAUUAGCUAGUUGGUAAGGUAAUGGCUUAACAAGGCAAUGAUACGUAGCCGAACUGAGAGGUGGAUCGGCCACAUUGGGACUGAGACACGGCCCAAACUCCUACGGGAGGCAGCAGUAGGUAAUCUUCCACAAUGGACGAAAGUCUGAUGGAGCAACGCCGCGUGAGUGAAGAAGGUUUUCGGAUCGUAAAACUCUGUUGUCAGAGAAGAACGUGUGCGAGAGUAACUGUUCGUGCAGUGACGGUAUCUGGCCAGAAAGCCACGGCUAACUACGUGCCAGCCGCCGCAGUAA